This 538-nucleotide ribosomal RNA is filed under the name uncultured bacterium. RNAcentral's name for it is "bacterial SSU rRNA". It matches the Rfam family "Bacterial small subunit ribosomal RNA", at positions 777 to 1315 of the family's 1533-position model. The record is from RNAcentral.
AAUAGAUACCCCGGUAGUCCAUGCCGUAAACGUUGGGCACUAGGUGUGGGACCCCCUCAACGGGUUCCGUGCUGUAGCUAACGCAUUAAGUGCCCCGCCUGGGGAGUACGGCCGCAAGGCUAAAACUCAAAGGAAUUGACGGGGGCCCGCACAAGCAGCGGAGCAUGUUGCUUAAUUCGAGGCAACACGAAGAACCUUACCUGGGUUUGACAUGUACGGAAAAGCCACAGAGAUGUGGUGUCCUUUUGGGCCGUACACAGGUGGUGCAUGGUUGUCGUCAGCUCGUGUCGUGAGAUGUUGGGUUAAGUCCCGCAACGAGCGCAACCCUUGUCCUAUGUUGCCAGCGGGUAAUGCCGGGGACUCGUAGGAGACUGCCGGGGACAACUCGGAGGAAGGUGGGGAUGACGUCAAAUCAUCAUGCCCCUUAUGUCCAGGGCUGCAAACAUGCUACAAUGGCCAGUACAAAGGGCUGCUAUACCGCGAGGUUGAGCGAAUCCCACAAAGCUGGUCUCAGUUCGGAUUGGAGUCUGCAACUCGA